GUUCGGAUUGUAGUCUGCAACCGACUACAUGAAGCUGGAAUCGCUAGUAAUCGCGGAUCAGAAUGCCGCGGUGAAUACGUUCCCGGGUCUUGUACACACCGCCCGUCACACCAUGGGAGUCGGAAAUGCCCGAAGUCUGUGACCCAACCUUAGGGAGGGAGCAGCCGAAGGCAGGUCGGAUGACUGGGGUGAAGUCGUAACAAGGUAAC
Molecule: ribosomal RNA, 209 nt
Filed under: uncultured bacterium
Lineage: Bacteria
Description: partial 16S ribosomal RNA
Rfam family: Bacterial small subunit ribosomal RNA
Source: RNAcentral